RNAcentral lists this ribosomal RNA (253 nucleotides) under uncultured bacterium. RNAcentral's name for it is "partial 16S ribosomal RNA". It matches the Rfam family "Bacterial small subunit ribosomal RNA", at positions 524 to 776 of the family's 1533-position model. The record is from RNAcentral.
UACAGAGGUCUCAAGCGUUGUUCGGAUUCAUUGGGCGUAAAGGGUGCGUAGGCGGCGUGGUAAGUCGGAUGUGAAAUCCCGGGGCUCAACCCCGGAACUGCAUUCGAUACUGCCUUGCUAGAGUACUGGAGAGGAGACUGGAAUUUACGGUGUAGCAGUGAAAUGCGUAGAUAUCGUAAGGAAGACCAGUGGCGAAGGCGAGUCUCUGGACAGUUACUGACGCUGAGGCACGAAGGCCAGGGGAGCAAACGGG